GGCCGACUAGCUCAGUUGGUUAGAGCGUCGUGCUAAUACCUUAGUACGGAGAUCGUCAUAGCUCACCACGUGACAGUCUUGGCACUAUGGUACGCGAAGGUCUUGGGUUCGAUCCCCACGUUGGCCA
Molecule: non-coding RNA, 127 nt
Organism: Boletus coccyginus
Lineage: Eukaryota; Fungi; Basidiomycota; Agaricomycetes; Boletales; Boletaceae
Source: the annotation of a GenBank genome assembly